RNAcentral lists this ribosomal RNA (510 nucleotides) under uncultured bacterium. RNAcentral's name for it is "partial 16S ribosomal RNA". It matches the Rfam family "Bacterial small subunit ribosomal RNA", at positions 28 to 507 of the family's 1533-position model. The record is from RNAcentral.
GACGAACGCUGGCGGCGUGCUUAACACAUGCAAGUCGAACGAAGAGCGAUGGAAGCUUGCUUCUAUCAAUCUUAGUGGCGAACGGGUGAGUAACGCGUAAUCCACCUGCCCUUCAGAGGGGGACAACAGUUGGAAACGACUGCUAAUACCGCAUACGAUCUAAUCUCGGCAUCGAGGAUAGAUGAAAGGUGGCCUCUACAUGUAAGCUAUCACUGAAGGAGGGGAUUGCGUCUGAUUAGCUAGUUGGGGGGGUAACGGCCCACCAAGGCGAUGAUCAGUAGCCGGUCUGAGAGGAUGAACGGCCACAUUGGGACUGAGACACGGCCCAGACUCCUACGGGAGGCAGCAGUGGGGGAUCUUCCGCAAUGGAGGAAAGUCUGACGGGGCAACGCCGCGUGAGUGAUGACGGGCUUCGGGUUGUAAAGCUCUGUUAAUCGGGACGAAAGGCCUUCUUGCGAAUAGUGAGAAGGAUUGACGGUACCGGAAUAGAAAGCCACGGCUAACUACGUG